This 451-nucleotide ribosomal RNA is filed under the name Rhodococcus sp. HA-OP30. Its description in RNAcentral is "bacterial SSU rRNA". It matches the Rfam family "Bacterial small subunit ribosomal RNA", at positions 1 to 495 of the family's 1533-position model. The record is from RNAcentral. Lineage: Bacteria; Bacillati; Actinomycetota; Actinomycetes; Mycobacteriales; Nocardiaceae.
UAGAGUUUGAUCCCUGCUCAGGAGAAAGCUGGGGGGGUGCUAACAUGCAAGUCGAGCGGAAGGCUUUCGGGGGUACACGAGCGGCGAACGGGUGAGUACACGUGGGUGAUCGUCUGCACUUCGGGAUAAGCCUGGGAAACUGGGUCUAAUACCGGAUAUGACCGCAGGUGCAUGGUCUGUGGUGGAAAGAUUUAUCGGUGCAGGAUGGGCCACGGCCUAUCAGCUUGUUGGUGGGGUAAUGGCCUACCAAGGCGACGACGGGUAGCCGACCUGAGAGGGUGACCGGCCACACUGGGACUGAGACACGGCCCAGACUACUACGGGAGGCAGCAGUGGGGAAUAUUGCACAAUGGACGAAAGCCUGAUGAACGCGCCGCGUGAGGGAUGACGGGCUUCGGGUUGUAACCUCUUCAGCAGGACGAAGGCAAGUGACGGUACAGAGAAAGCCCCG